UGCGGGGAUGACGUGAAGAGGGUUGGCGGUGCUGACGAACCAGGUUUACCAGGGUUGGUUGGGAUUAGAGGACGGUUGGGGAUGUCACACAGAGAGGAGACUAGGAACGGCCGAACGAGCAGAAAACGGCGAGGACGAGGCGUCACCAGAGUGUGGCCUAAUGGUGGAUCAAACAAAGAGACGCGAGUAGAGGGUUGUGCGUAUAUAUAUAUAUAUAUAUAUACAUGUACAUGUACAUAUUAUAUAUACAUAUAAUAGAUACACACUAUACCCAAGAGUUUGCCGUCCUAUGUUACAGGCUGUACCCACAAAGUAACUACACCGAGUAGCAAUCCGUAGGAUGAAUCUAAAUAGAAACUACCCUAACUGAAAUUUUUAUUCGGUCUUCAGCCAAAUAAUUGAGAAAUUUAUUUUUCGCAGAUGGUUUGUUGACAAAGGGAGAAACGAUUCCGUUUCAAAGCCGUACCGAUCCGAGGAUUCAGGUUUUGUUUAGUCUCUAUUCACCCCUGAUAGCUUUUAUAUGGACCAAUGAGAAUUCGGGAUUGCUAAGAUUUACUACUAGGCUCGAAUCUUGGCCACGUGUUCAAAAUUUCCGACAUUUAAUUAUGCGAAUCCCCAUGCACGAUUACCGUACGUAAGUGCGUACUGAACUUGCGGCGAAUUUACAUGCAGGAACCUCAUUUAGGAGCAGUGCGUCAUGGACUGUGUGUUCCUGGUAAAUUAUCAGGGGACCCUCGAAGGUCUUACGCAGGAUUCAAUGUGUAUCCUCGGGGGAUUAGUUCGGGUUGGGUUGGAUUAUUGAGACGUCACGGACGACCGGGCGCAGUAUAGCGAGAUUGACCCACCGGAAAGGCUACCCUAGCGACGUCUUAAAUGUCAGGUUAGACUUGGCCGGGAGGUAAGAGCGCGAAGAGUAAACAGUUCGUGCCUGGAAACAGACACUAAGGGCCGGGGGAAUCGAAUUCCGGACGCCUAAGACCUUUCGUCGAGUUCCGUCGUCGUGUGUAGCCCUUCAGUUUUAUUAACGUAAUUCGCGCGCGCAGCGCUCUAUCGUACAGUCAAGAGAGUACGACGGAACUUUUCGGUACUACUGAAAAACUUUCCUUCGGUCCGUAGAAGGCAGAAAUUUAAUAGUCGUGCCAAUGCGAAAACCUUGAAGAACCUUAUCCAAUCUGCAUAAAAGUGACGUUGACAGUUAAAAUGAUCGAAUAAACUAUUUUUCCCUUAUAAAUCCUGACGAUCUUUUUUCAUUCUCGACAAACGCUCCCAUCAAUCACGACCUUUAACGUGCUAUACUGCUGGGUAUAAUGGGACUUGCAAUGACUACACUACAGUCGAUUCGCUCGAAACGACCUCUGCUACGUUUACUAUCUAAAUUGCAUUUUCAACUUAGCGACUCGGACGGCCACAAAGGGACCCUAAACCUGAAUCAACAAUCGAAUUCACUACUCGAAUAAUCCCCAGUAUCGUUCCGUAUCGAUAAGUACAAUAGCCAGGAAGUUACACAGAGCAGUCUGAUAAAUGAGAAAUACAAACGUACAUUGCUGUCAGCAAGCAAAAAGAUUUCAGUAAGAAUAAUUGCCAAGAAAAAUCCGAGUAACUUCCAUACAAUUAUAAAAGAUGUAGCGAGAGAAGUAAUUUAAGAAAAUAAUUAAUUUUGCUUUUUCUUAAAUUAAACAACUUUCCUGAUCUCUCGUUACUUCCAUCGUAACGCAGCCAGACCCCGCUGGUAGUUCCACGUUAAAUCGGGUACACGGAAUACGUGGUAAUCGAAUGCACGUCUAUAUACGUGCAGCUCGACCCUGGCGAAGCCGCCGUUGGCUAUUGAGAAUUCCAGAAACGGUAUAAAGGCUCGAGAAACAUGAUCGAGCCGACUGCACGGCCUCCUAGGUUCUAUAUUCGUAACACUGGCCAAGCGCAUUGGCACGUACUCGGUCGCGGUGCGAGUGUCCGAGUGCAGCAGUCGACGAAUGGGAAGCAGCGGCGACGAGUAAAAUGUAUCGCGACGCCCGGGCGUCGUUGUAAAAAGGUGAACGAUGGCCGUAAGCCAAUGCAGCCACGAGACCCUGUCUCAUACCGUGAAUUCAAUUACCAUCGGGACUUUAACGGGAUCCCACGUAUUUGACGCGGGAAAUUCAAAAAGAGAUUUGACAGACGGAUUUUGGCCACCUGUGCAGCCGCAAGGAUUUACCAAGCGUCAGAUACCUCGUCGGCCACGUUUUACAGCGCGUCAGCCCUAUACUUUCUCAGUUGUUUGUUCAAGCACUAAUUUGAAUCAAUCAAGCAAUCCACUUCUGAGCCUCACAUGAUGACUACUAUAUACUGUACGAUGAGACUGAACGUGAGUAAAUGAUGAAAGACCGACAACCUUAAUAUUAUCAUUUGAUUUUAAUCAUAGAACAUCAAUGAAUGACAGUGCAACCAGCCUUGCAAUAAUAAACCUAUAUACAUAUACCAAGUUCACUUAAGUUUCAUGAAAUAAAUAUAACUGAACAAUA
This is a long non-coding RNA of Cephus cinctus (wheat stem sawfly), 2498 nucleotides long. RefSeq lists it as uncharacterized. The record is from RefSeq and is a predicted model, not a curated record. NCBI's taxonomy places the organism in Eukaryota, Metazoa, Arthropoda, Insecta, Hymenoptera, Cephidae. The transcript is spliced from 2 exons.